GGCAAGACGGAAAGACCCCGUGAACCUUUACUAUAGCUUGACACUGAACAUUGAGCCUUGAUGUGUAGGAUAGGUGGGAGGCUUUGAAGUGUGGACGCCAGUCUGCAUGGAGCCGACCUUGAAAUACCACCCUUUAAUGUUUGAUGUUCUAACGUGGACCCGUUACCCGGGUUGCGGACAGUGUCUGGUGGGUAGUUUGACUGGGGCGGUCUCCUCCUAAAGAGUAACGGAGGAGCACGAAGGUUGGCUAAUCCUGGUCGGACAUCAGGAGGUUAGUGCAAUGGCAUAAGCCAGCUUGACUGCGAGCGUGACGGCGCGAGCAGGUGCGAAAGCAGGUCAUAGUGAUCCGGUGGUUCUGAAUGGAAGGGCCAUCGCUCAACGGAUAAAAGGUACUCCGGGGAUAACAGGCUGAUACCGCCCAAGAGUUCAUAUCGACGGCGGUGUUUGGCACCUCGAUGUCGGCUCAUCACAUCCUGGGGCUGAAGUAGGUCCCAAGGGUAUGGCUGUUCGCCAUUUAAAGUGGUACGCGAGCUGGGUUUAGAACGUCGUGAGACAGUUCGGUCCCUAUCUGCCGUGGGCGCUGGAGAACUGAGGGGGGCUGCUCCUAGUACGAGAGGACCGGAGUGGACGCAUCACUGGUGUUCGGGUUGUCAUGCCAAUGGCACUGCCCGGUAGCUAAAUGCGGAAGAGAUAAGUGCUGAAAGCAUCUAAGCACGAAACUUGCCCCGA
RNAcentral lists this ribosomal RNA (729 nucleotides) under Salmonella enterica. Its description in RNAcentral is "partial 23S ribosomal RNA". It matches the Rfam family "Bacterial large subunit ribosomal RNA", at positions 2074 to 2802 of the family's 2925-position model. The record is from RNAcentral. Lineage: Bacteria; Pseudomonadati; Pseudomonadota; Gammaproteobacteria; Enterobacterales; Enterobacteriaceae.